AUGGCAGGUGAAGAAAACGAGUAUGACGUUGAAGGAAAUGGGCAUCUCAAUCAGCCCGUCACACGGUUUCACUUCAACGCAUUACGUGAUCAUCUACGCCGAGAGUUCAGAAACAGCCUUGACCCAAUUGAAGAGAAGCAAGAAAAGUUGUCGAGAGAUUUGCAGCAACUUAUGGGUAAUGUUGAUGAGCAACUCACUCAGAACAUGGCAGCCAUGAGGACUGGUAUUGUUGCUGAUAUUGUGCGAGAGCUUCUUCAGAACCGAGAAGAUGCAAGUGUCCAUGGUGAAGAACAAAAUGUAACUGAUGGGGAAGGUGCUGCCUCCAAUGCACAAGCUAGAAGAAACCAUGCUCCUGCUCCCCAUGCCAUGAGACCUCCCGGUCCCGGACGUGAAUGGAUGUGGUCAUCAUGA
RNAcentral lists this ribosomal RNA (411 nucleotides) under Triticum aestivum (bread wheat). RNAcentral describes it as "partial small subunit ribosomal RNA". The record is from RNAcentral. Lineage: Eukaryota; Viridiplantae; Streptophyta; Magnoliopsida; Poales; Poaceae.